RNAcentral lists this ribosomal RNA (497 nucleotides) under uncultured bacterium. RNAcentral's name for it is "partial 16S ribosomal RNA". It matches the Rfam family "Bacterial small subunit ribosomal RNA", at positions 28 to 507 of the family's 1533-position model. The record is from RNAcentral.
GAUGAACGCUGGCGGCGUGCCUAAUACAUGCAAGUCGAGCGAACAGGCGAGGAGCUUUCUCCUCUGACGUUAGCGGCGGACGGGUGAGUAACACGUGGAUAACCUACCUAUAAGACUGGGAUAACUUCGGGAAACCGGAGCUAAUACCGGAUAAUAUAUUGAACCGCAUGGUUCAAUAGUGAAAGACGGUUUUGCUGUCACUUAUAGAUGGAUCCGCGCCGCAUUAGCUAGUUGGUAAGGUAACGGCUUACCAAGGCAACGAUGCGUAGCCGACCUGAGAGGGUGAUCAGCCACACUGGAACUGAGACACGGUCCAGACUCCUACGGGAGGCAGCAGUAGGGAAUCUUCCGCAAUGGGCGAAAGCCUGACGGAGCAACGCCGCGUGAGUGAUGAAGGUCUUCGGAUCGUAAAACUCUGUUAUUAGGGAAGAACAAAUGUGUAAGUAACUAUGCACGUCUUGACGGUACCUAAUCAGAAAGCAACGGCUAACUACGUG